AUAAAGACAGCUCUUAGCCAGUCUUCUAAGUAGUAGUGCCGCAGGUAAUGGUUUUGAAUUACCUGCACACGACUGCUUCAGAGACUGAGCGAAGUACUUAGCAU
Molecule: microRNA precursor, 104 nt
Filed under: Leptotrombidium deliense
Lineage: Eukaryota; Metazoa; Arthropoda; Arachnida; Trombidiformes; Trombiculidae
Description: microRNA mir-252
Rfam family: mir-252 microRNA precursor family (bases 18-88)
Source: RNAcentral